GAUGCAAUCAAUUAACUUAGUUCCCUGAAGAUCACAAUAAUGCGUGAAACUCUGAGUAGAAAAAAAAUUUUAAGCACGAAAGUGAUUAAUUUACUCCACUUUAUUUCGAGUAUUGAACUCUCUUUUUUAUACGUUACGACCAAUAUUAUAUAUGGAUAUUUAAAUGGCAGAAGUUUGAAAACUCGCUGAGGUAAAGAUAUAACUAAUACCGUAACACAGUAGACUAUAGUAGUUAAAUGUCGAAUUGUGAAAUGCUUGAAGCAUAAGCAGUUAUAGGUUGAGGCUGAGCAUGACAUCAAAAAUGAUCUGGCAUUGACGAGAACUAUGUUAUCACUGGAAACGAAGCUGAUUGAAGUCUGUAUAAUUCUUGAUGCAUGACAAAUUUUUUAAAUUUUGGGUAAUUUGGAUGAAAAUUGCAUAAACAAUAGACCUUUCCCCUUAUGAGUGAAAUUUUGAUCUAGAUAUGCCUGGACAAAAAUUUCAUCACAGUUUGAAAGAGCAUCACAAAAUUAGUAAUAUUCCGAAGUUUCGUUGCGAAAUGAUGUAAAAUGCGGAUAAUAUAGCGUUACGAGGUUUGCCGUUUUUCAGUCAUUUUGCA
Paramuricea clavata is the source of this 598-nucleotide non-coding RNA. NCBI's taxonomy places the organism in Eukaryota, Metazoa, Cnidaria, Anthozoa, Malacalcyonacea, Plexauridae. The record is from the annotation of a GenBank genome assembly.